UGGGGGAUAUUGCACAAUGGGCGAAAGCCUGAUGCAGCGACGCCGCGUGGGGGAUGAAGGCCUUCGGGUUGUAAACUUCUUUUGCUCUGAACAAGGCGCACCAUGGGGUGUGUUGAGUGUAGGGGUUGAUUAGCGCCGGCUAACUACGUGCCAGCAGCCGCGGUAAUACGUAGGGCGCGAGCGUUGUCCGGAAUUAUUGGGCGUAAAGGGCUUGUAGGUGGCUGGUUGCGUCUGUCGUGAAAGCUCAUGGCUUAACUGUGGGUUUGCGGUGGGUACGGGCUGGCUUGAGUGCAGUAGGGGAGGCUGGAAUUCCUGGUGUAGCGGUGGAAUGCGCAGAUAUCAGGAGGAAUACCGGUGGCGAAGGCGGGUCUCUGGGCUGUUACUGACACUGAGGAGAGAAAGAAUGGGGAGCGAACAGG
RNAcentral lists this ribosomal RNA (419 nucleotides) under bacterium. RNAcentral's name for it is "partial 16S ribosomal RNA". It matches the Rfam family "Bacterial small subunit ribosomal RNA", at positions 355 to 776 of the family's 1533-position model. The record is from RNAcentral.